GCGGGUAUAGUUUAGUGGUAAAAC
RNAcentral lists this non-coding RNA (24 nucleotides) under Drosophila melanogaster (fruit fly). Lineage: Eukaryota; Metazoa; Arthropoda; Insecta; Diptera; Drosophilidae. RNAcentral also lists the same sequence under 4 other names. The record is from RNAcentral.